GCAAGUCGAGCGAGGAGAUCCUUCGGGAUGAUCCUAGACGGCGGACGGGUGAGUAACACGUGGGCAACCUGCCUCAUAGAGAGGAAUAGCCUUCCGAAAGGGAGAUUAAUACCUCAUAACAUUGCAGUUUCGCAUGGAACAGCAAUUAAAGGAGUAAUCCGCUAUGAGAUGGGCCCGCGGCGCAUUAGCUAGUUGGUGAGGUAAUGGCUCACCAAGGCGACGAUGCGUAGCCGACCUGAGAGGGUGAUCGGCCACAUUGGGACUGAGACACGGCCCAGACUCCUACGGGAGGCAGCAGUAGGGAAUCUUCCGCAAUGGACGAAAGUCUGACGGAGCAACGCCGCGUGAGUGAAGAAAAGGUUUUCGGAUCGUAAAACUCUGUUGUCAGAGAAGAACAAGUUGGAGAGUAACUGCUCCAGCCUUGACGGUAUCUGACCAGAAAGCCACGGCUAACUACGUGCCAGCAGCGGC
This 471-nucleotide ribosomal RNA is filed under the name uncultured bacterium. RNAcentral's name for it is "bacterial SSU rRNA". It matches the Rfam family "Bacterial small subunit ribosomal RNA", at positions 57 to 518 of the family's 1533-position model. The record is from RNAcentral.